Molecule: ribosomal RNA, 411 nt
Filed under: uncultured bacterium
Lineage: Bacteria
Description: bacterial SSU rRNA
Rfam family: Bacterial small subunit ribosomal RNA
Source: RNAcentral
GAUGAACGCUAGCUACAGGCCUAACACAUGCAAGUCGAGGGGCAUCGGGAGGGAAGCUUGCUUCCUUGCCGGCGACCGGCGCACGGGUGAGUAACGCGUAUCGAACCUGCCCCAUACCCGGGGAUAGCCUUGCGAAAGUAAGAUUAAUACCCGAUGGUUUCCUUUUAUCUCCUGAUAGAGGGAAUAAAGAAUUUCGGUAUGGGAUGGCGAUGCGUCCGAUUAGCUAGUUGGCGGGGUAACGGCCCACCAAGGCGACGAUCGGUAGGGGUUCUGAGAGGAAGGUCCCCCCACAUUGGAACUGAGACACGGUCCAAACUCCUACGGGAGCAGCAGCGAGGAUAUUGGUCAAUGGCCGAGAGGCUGAACCAGCCAAGUCGCGUGAGGGAUGAAGGUUCUAUGGAUCGUAAACCU